UGGGGAAUUUUGGACAAUGGGCGAAAGCCUGAUCCAGCCAUGCCGCGUGAGUGAAGAAGGCCUUCGGGUUGUAAAGCUCUUUUAGUCGGAAAGAAAGAGUUGCAAUGAAUAAUUGUGAUUUAUGACGGUACCGACAGAAAAAGCACCGGCUAACUACGUGCCAGCAGCCGCGGUAAUACGUAGGGUGCGAGCGUUAAUCGGAAUUACUGGGCGUAAAGGGUGCGCAGGCGGUCUUGCAAGUCAGAUGUGAAAGCCCCGGGCUUAACCUGGGAAGUGCGUUUGAAACUACACGACUAGAGUGCAGCAGAGGGGAGUGGAAUUCCAUGUGUAGCAGUGAAAUGCGUCGAGAUGUGGAAGAACACCGAUGGCGAAGGCAGCUCCCUGGGUUGACACUGACGCUCAUGCACGAAAGCGUGGGGAGCAAACA
This 427-nucleotide ribosomal RNA is filed under the name uncultured bacterium. Its description in RNAcentral is "bacterial SSU rRNA". It matches the Rfam family "Bacterial small subunit ribosomal RNA", at positions 355 to 774 of the family's 1533-position model. The record is from RNAcentral.